AGGGUUUGAUCCUGGCUCAGAACGAACGCUGGCGGCGUGGCUAAGACAUGCAAGUCGAACGGUCUAUGCAAUUGAGUAAUCGAGCGUAUAGAUAGUGGCGAAAGGGUUAGUAAUGGCUAGGUAACGUACCCCAUGCUCUGGGAUAGCUAUUCGAAAGGGUAGGUAAUACCAGAUGAUAUCACAGAUCUAUAGUUUUGUGAUCAAAGAUUUAUCGGCAUGGGAGCGGCCUAGUUCCUAUCAGCUAGUUGGUGUGGUAACGGCUCACCAAGGCAACGACGGGUAGCGGGACUGAGAGGUUGGCCCGCAACAUCGGAACUGAGACACUGUCCGGACCUCCACGGAGGGCUGCAGUAACGAAUAUUGCGCAAUGGGCGAAAGCCUGACGCAGCGACGCCGCGUGUAGGAUGAAGUUCCUCGGGAUGUAAACUACUUUUCGGGUUAAGAAAGUCUUCGGAUUGAUCGAUCCCGGAAUAAGUCACGGCUAACUUCGUGCCAGCAGACGCGGUAAGACGAAGGUGGCGAGCGUUGUUCGGUAUUACUGGGCUUAAAGCGUGUGUAGGCGGAAAUGUAAGCGUCUUGUGAAAUCCCUCGGCUUAACCGAGGAAUUGCUUGGCGAACUGCAUUUCUUGAGGCAAGUAGGGGUACACGGAACUCUUGGUGGAGCGGUGGAAUGCGUAGAUAUCAAGAGGAACGCCGGUGGAGAAGUCGGUGUACUGGGCUUGUCCUGACGCUGAGACACGAAAGCGUGGGGAGCAAACAGGAUUAGAUACCCUGGUAGUCCACGCUGUAAACGAUGUCAACUAGGUCGUGCGGGUUCUGACGCUGGCACGGCCGAAGCAAAAGUGUUAAGUUGACCGCCUGGGGAGUACGGUCGCAAGGCUAAAACUCAAAGGAAUUGACGGGGGCUCACACAAGCGGUGGAGCAUGUGGAUUAAUUCGAAUCAACGCGCAGAACCUUACCUGGGUUUGACAUGCUUGGAUGCCCUCCGGGAAACCGGAGUAAGCUGCCCUUCGGGGUGAAACUUGCACAGGUGCUGCAUGGCUGUCGUCAGCUCGUGUCGUGAGAUGUUGGGUUAAGUCCUUUAACGAGCGAAACCCUUACCGUUAGUUGCCAGCGAGUCAAGUCGGGGACUCUAACGGGACUGCCGGUGUUAAACCGGAGGAAGGUGGGGAUGACGUCAAGUCCUCAUGGCCUUUAUGCCCAGGGCUUCACACGUGCUACAAUGGUUCGGACAGAGCGACGCAAGCCUGCGAAGGUGAGCCAAUCCCAAAAAGUCGUUCUUAGUUCGGAUUGGAGUCUGCAACUCGACUCCAUGAAGCUGGAAUCGCUAGUAAUCGCGGAUCAGCACGCCGCGGUGAAUACGUUCCCGGGCCUUGUACACACCGCCCGUCACACCAUGAGAGUUGGUUGUACCAGAAGUUGUU
This 1425-nucleotide ribosomal RNA is filed under the name metagenome. Its description in RNAcentral is "bacterial SSU rRNA". It matches the Rfam family "Bacterial small subunit ribosomal RNA". The record is from RNAcentral.